AGUGAACGCUGGCGGUAGGCCUAACACAUGCAAGUCGAACGGCAGCACAGGAGAGCUUGCUCUCUAGGUGGCGAGUGGCGGACGGGUGAGGAAUACAUCGGAAUCUGCCCAGUCGUGGGGGAUAACGUAGGGAAACUUACGCUAAUACCGCAUACGACCUUCGGGUGAAAGAGGGGGAUCGCAAGACCUCUCGCGAUUGGAUGAGCCGAUGUCGGAUUAGCUAGUUAGCGGGGUAAUGGCCCACCAAGGCGACGAUCCGUAGCUGGUCUGAGAGGAUGAUCAGCCACACUGGAACUGAGACACGGUCCAGACUCCUACGGGAGGCAGCAGUGGGGAAUAUUGGACAAUGGGCGCAAGCCUGAUCCAGCCAUCCCGCGUGGGUGAAGAAGGCCUUCGGGUUGUAAAGCCCUUUUGUUGGGAAAGAAAUCUUUCAGGCUAAUACCCUGGGAGGAUGACGGUACCCAAAGAAUAAGCACCGGCUAACUUCGUG
RNAcentral lists this ribosomal RNA (490 nucleotides) under uncultured bacterium. RNAcentral describes it as "partial 16S ribosomal RNA". It matches the Rfam family "Bacterial small subunit ribosomal RNA", at positions 29 to 507 of the family's 1533-position model. The record is from RNAcentral.